This 569-nucleotide ribosomal RNA is filed under the name Bombus brasiliensis. Its description in RNAcentral is "partial 16S ribosomal RNA". It matches the Rfam family "Bacterial large subunit ribosomal RNA", at positions 1796 to 2647 of the family's 2925-position model. The record is from RNAcentral. Lineage: Eukaryota; Metazoa; Arthropoda; Insecta; Hymenoptera; Apidae.
UCACCUGUUUAUCAAAAACAUGGCUUAUUGAGAAUAAUUUUAAGUCAAUCUGCCCAAUGAUUUUAAUUUAAUGGCUGCAGUAUAAUUAACUGUACAAAGGUAGCAUAAUAAAUUGUUUUUUAAUUGAAAACUAGAAUGAAGGAAUUAAUGAGAUAUAUACUGUCUCAUAUAUAUAUAAUGAAUUUAAAUUUUUAGUAAAAAUGCUUAAAUAGUUUUAUGGGACGAUAAGACCCUAUAGAAUUUUAUAUCAAUAUUUUAUUAUUUAUUUAAUAAAAAUAUUGAUAUUUGAUUGGGAGGAUUAAUAAAUUUGAAAAACUUUAUUUUAAAAAUAAACUUUGAUUUUAGAAUUAAUUUUUGAUCUUUUAUUAUAAAUGGAAAGAAUAAAUUACCUUAGGGAUAACAGCGUAAUAUCUUUUUAAAGAUCAUAUUUAAAAAGAUGGUUGCGACCUCGAUGUUGAAUUAAGAUAAAUUUUAGACGGAGAAGUUUAAUAAUUGAGUCUGUUCGACUUUUAAAAUCUUACAUGAUUUGAGUUCAAAUCGACGUGAGUCAGAUUGGUUUCUAUCUAUAA